This is a long non-coding RNA of Peromyscus californicus insignis, 2060 nucleotides long. RefSeq lists it as uncharacterized. Lineage: Eukaryota; Metazoa; Chordata; Mammalia; Rodentia; Cricetidae. The record is from RefSeq and is a predicted model, not a curated record. The transcript has 3 exons.
AGGUUUUUGGAAUGCCUAAGAGAAAAAACCAGCUCUUCUGCACGUGACUUCUUCACAUCGCUCAUGCCUGCUACAAUGAUGAUAGUAAUCGCUGUGGUUCACUGAAUACCCUGCCUUAUAUGUCAUUCUAAAUGCUUUGCAUAAUGAGUAUGAACCAGUGCAACUGUUCUGUGAGCAUCUUCUGUCCUGGGCAUGAGGAAAUAUAGAUAUUUAUUGACAUAGGAUGUCAGAAGAUCAAGGAAAAUUGACUCUGGAGAAGGAAGGAGGAGGGGUUUUAACUCUUUGCUCAGUCUCCCUCCCAUUGCUGCUGCAAGGAGCUAGAGAGCUUGGAGUGAAUGACAAUUUGGAGAAACAGCCGCAGCCUGAAGAUCUAAGAGGCUCUAAAGAAGAUGGAUAAGAAAAUCGAUGCAUAAUAAAAGCUGCAGGCAAAGCCACCUUGACAGAGGGCCGGCAGCUCUCUCUUACUGCCCUCCUUAGUUUCUCCAGGUUCAGGCCUCUGUGUUAACUACCAUCCUCUUUUUUUCCACCCACCUUUUACUCUGUGUGUGUGUGUGUGUGUGUGUGUAAGUAUGUGAGUGUGUGUGUAUGGGGUAUGUGUGUGUGAGUGUGUGUGUAUAAGUGUAUGAGUGUGUGUGUAUGGGGUGUGUGUGUGUGUAUGGUGUGUGUGUGUAUGGUGUGUGUGUGUAUGGUGUGUGUGUAUAGUGUGUGUGUGUGUGUGUAUAGUGUGUGUGUGUGUGUGUGUGUGUGUGAGGAGUGGUAUUUACCUUUGGAAUGGAAAAGGAAGGAACAUCUGGACAUGAAAAAUGUAUAUGAGAGGUGUGCAGGGGUGCUAGCAUGAAGGAGGGGAGAAGGGCAAGGCAAGGAUUAUGGAAUGCACUUUGAACAGGGGCUUGAAUUGCACCAUAAAGUAGUAUCUUUAAUAAAAACAAACAAAAAACCCCUAACAAUGGAUAUAGGAAGACAUGAUAUAAAACAUGUAAGUUAUCUUCUCUGCGGUGUUAAAAAAAAAACGAAAGCAUAAGCAAUACUCCUGAAAGGGGAGGGCUGGAGCAUGGCUUAGAUAAAUGAGACUCUGUACAUGUAACUAGCUUCUACUCACACAUAGUGGGGAUAUAGUAAGUACUACUUUCCUUGCUUUCUUAGAAGCUGGAAUGAAGGAAAGGAUAUUUUGGAGGUCGUUGCUGGCCUGAGACUCUAUGGAUCAAUUCUAUGAUUGCUAGUGUAUUUUAUUCUUGAUAUCUUCCCGUUUACAAUUGCAGGAAGUCAUUUAUGCUAUCAAACUUACCCCAUUUUGUUGAAAUUAAGACACUUAAGUAAUUGUCCAGCCAUCAUUCCUUAGUGUUCUGGAGCACCAGUUGGGGGUCACCCUGUCUACCUCUGAUUCAAGGUGUAAGUUGUAUGAGCAGCCAGUGAAUAGAAGUCCAAGUGAGGUCAAAUCCAUGUGUUCUUUGACAGUCACACUGACACCAUUGUGAAGGGUUUUCAUAAGGAGGUGGUUGUUCAGAGUUUGAAGUUCUGCCCUCUAGGACGGAGAGGAAGGAUCACGGGGUGGGAGAUGUGACUUUGAACAGUGCUGUUCCAGGGAGCUGUGUGAGCCUAGGGUGAGAGUUGGAGGCUGGAGGAACGCACUGCUGUCAUUGACUCUGGCUCAUGUGCUAAAAUCCCUUCUACUUUUUGCUUUCUCUCAAGCAGGGCAUCGGCUGUCGACAAGGUAUCUCUUUCCUGUCGUUCAAAGCAUGCCAGAAGCUCCUUUGUUUAAAGCAUGGCUUUCUGGAGUAGAGGAGUACCAGUGUCUUCCUGGGUCUCAUCCUGACGGGGCUCAGAUCUGGUCCCUGGUUGCUAACCCCUCCCCACCCUCAUAUGUCAGGUUCCACCCUUCCCUCUCAUUUUGCACUUAUCUUAGUCUCCAUUCUUAAUAAUACUUCUGACUUCUGUGGGAUAUUAUUAUUUAAUAUCUCAACCUAUAAUCUGAUUUUCCCCUGUUUGCUCCUUUGUCUCUUAUUUAUUAUAUCAGUGUGAUGACAUUAUGAGACUUUAAAGUAUAGGAAGACUAUGUGUAA